RNAcentral lists this ribosomal RNA (890 nucleotides) under uncultured Verrucomicrobiota bacterium. Its description in RNAcentral is "bacterial SSU rRNA". It matches the Rfam family "Bacterial small subunit ribosomal RNA", at positions 37 to 920 of the family's 1533-position model. Lineage: Bacteria; Pseudomonadati; Verrucomicrobiota. The record is from RNAcentral.
UGGCGGCGUGGUUAAGACAUGCAAGUCGCACGGAGAAUCUUUGAAGCUUGCUUUUAAGAUUCUUAGUGGCGCACGGGUGAGUAACACGUGAGUUACAUGCCCUGCAGAGGGGAAUAGCCCGCCGAAAGGCGGAUUAAUACCCCAUGGUCCCGCAAGGGUAAAGGUGGCUUCGGCUGCCGCUGCAGGAUUGGCUCGCGUCCUAUCAGCUUGUUGGUAAGGUAACGGCUUACCAAGGCAACGACGGGUAGCUGGUCUGAGAGGACGAUCAGUCACACUGGAACUGAGACACGGUCCAGACACCUACGGGUGGCAGCAGUCGAGAAUAAUUCACAAUGGACGAAAGUCUGAUGGUGCAACGCCGCGUGGAGGAUGACGGUCUUCGGAUUGUAAACUCCUGUCAUUUGAGAGUAAGACCUGGCGGUCAAUAGCCGACAGGGUUGAUAGUAUCAAAAGAGGAAGGGACGGCUAACUUCGUGCCAGCAGCCGCGGUAAUACGAAGGUCCCGAGCGUUGUUCGGAAUCACUGGGCGUAAAGGGAGCGUAGGCGGUUUGGUAAGUCAGAUGUGAAAUCCCGGGGCUCAACCCCGGAACUGCAUCCGAUACUGCCAGACUUGAGUAAUGGAGGGGUAACUGGAAUUCUCGGUGUAGCAGUGAAAUGCGUAGAUAUCGAGAGGAACACUCGUGGCGAAGGCGAGUUACUGGACAUUUACUGACGCUGAGGCUCGAAGGCUAGGGUAGCGAAAGGGAUUAGAUACCCCUGUAGUCCUAGCAGUAAACGGUGUGCGCUUGGUGUGAGGGGUUUCGACCCCCCUUGUGCCGGAGCUAACGCGUUAAGCGCACCGCCUGGGGAGUACGGUCGCAAGACUAAAACUCAAAGAAAUUGACGGGGAC